UAUCGCUGCAAUGGCGGCUGCGGACGAGGACUGCAGUGUGUGGCUCGGUCGGAAGCUUUCAGUCUCUACCUCGGAGCGGGCUGGGACGCUCCCGUGUUUCGUUCCCGAGCAGGCGCGCGGCGCCGGGACCGCGUCUUCGCUCAGUAGCGCCGAGACGUGGCCGCUGAAGCGCUACGGCCGCUUUGUCUCCCCGGGAGACCCACCCUGUGGGGCGGGAGCUUCGGUUUCUUGGAAGGUUUUGGAGUCAAAUGAAGAAUCAGGCCAUCUUAUUCUCACCAUUGUUGUAUCUGGACAUUUCUUCAUUUCCCAAAGACGGGCAGUACAGGAAGGUUUUUCAUUAAUUGAUGCCCACAAAUGGUUGAAGAUAGUAAGAAGAGCAGAUUGUCUGUUGUUUGGUUCAAAGUUAAAAAAUGAAUGCCGCAUGUUUCGUAUUCAGUUUGGUGGAGAUUCAAAAGAGCAGGCGCUGGAACACUGCUAUAAUUGUGUGCAGAAACUUGCAGAUUAUGUAACAGUUCAGGUAACAGAUGAGCAAAGCCAAGAGCUGCACCAAGGUCAUAGUCAGCUGGCUAACAGUGAAAGUCGAGUGAAGGACUUUGAACAAAACACAUCGAUGCUGCAUGGACCAAGUCACAUUAUAGAUAAGCCUCCAGCCCAGUCAUGGAGAAGCUUUCCAGAGAGACAGAGAUCCGUGACAGAGCUAGCACAGUCUGUGCUGAAAUCAUCAACAUUUGCGCUCCCCCUUGCAUAUCAGCAUUCUGUGUGGAGUGCUGAAGAUUUAGGACCUUUUAUUCACCUAUGUCUCAUGGAUCAGAACUUCCCAGCAUUUGUGGAAGAAGUGGAGAAGGAGUUGAAAAAACUGACAGAAGGUUGAGGAAAUGUUAAUACAGUAUUUCAGUUCAUUUAGUGGUCACACCCAGCAGCAGUGUAACAGGCAGCUUUGCUUGCAUAGGAAUGGAGGACAAAGGAGACCAUUUUAGAAAGCUAUCAGUAUUUCAGCUACUAACUUUAAAAGAGUCAACAGUAGAGGCAGUCUGAUGCUGUCUGCAGUACACUGGACUGAAGCCAUGGACACACUACGGUGGUGGUUACAGGAGAGCACAACCUGCAGUGACUCUGGAAUGGAAAGCAUAUAUGCUACCAUUGGAGAAUGUUACAAGCAUCAUACCUCCAAAAAGCAAGUAAUGGAAAACACUUUUAAUCUAGUCUACAGAACUAGAAAAUUUGUGUAAUAGAGACUUAUCCAGAAGUGCUUUGGGAAUUGCUUUAUUUUCCAAAUGUUUUUCAUAUUCAGCCAAUAAUAGACCAUUUUAGGUCUGCUUUUCAAACUGUAUGUUGAUGACCUGGAGCUAAUUGGGACUUUAAUGGCUAUCGCGGCCAGUUUAGACCUAUUCUUACCCACCUGUCAGUUACAUAGUAAUGUUUAUGAUAUUUAUAGGUGGAGCUGAAUGAAAUAAUGGGAACUAAGUGAAGAGCAAGGCUUUUUACAGGACUUGUUGGGUGCUUUCAAACCUAUCCUGGGAAUAUAUGGAAAUUACUAAACACAGAAGUUUGAAGCAAGAAGAGUUAAAGAUUGAGAAUGUAACUUAAGAGUUCCCUGAUGGCUGACCACUUGAAGUUUUAAAAUGUUAGCAGAAGAUACUAAUGUUUCAUCAAUCUGUAAGAAAGCAGAAAAGCAAGCAGGCAUUGCUCUUUAGUUCUGAGGAGAUAAUGCAUUGUGGAAUGGGUACUGGGUAAGGUGUGCACACAAAAAAAAGCUGUCCCACUCCAAAAAGGAACAUCCUGAAGAUUCUCACGAGGAAAAUCCUUCCCAUACCUCACGUUUGAGGUGUCAAUUGUAUAUGAGCUGUGGUUUUCAAAUAAGUGCAUCCAACUGGAAUCCAUAAUCUUGUGGAAGGACAGUAUGGGAGCCUUAGUGUCUAGUUC
RNA transcript from Mauremys mutica (yellowpond turtle), 1923 nucleotides. It is a transcript of the gene named REC114 meiotic recombination protein, with no coding region annotated. The transcript has 8 exons. Lineage: Eukaryota; Metazoa; Chordata; Testudines; Geoemydidae. The record is from RefSeq and is a predicted model, not a curated record.